AUACGUAGGGUGCGAGCGUUAAUCGGAAUUACUGGGCGUAAAGCGUGCGCAGGCGGUUUUGCAAGUCUGAUGUGAAAGCCCCGGGCUUAACCUGGGAACGGCCUUGGAGACUGGCCGGCUAGAGGACGGCAGAGGGGGGUAGAAUUCCACGUGUAGCAGGGGAAUGCGUAGAGAUGGGGAGGAAUACCGGUGGCGAAGGCAGCCCCCUGGGAUGAUACUGACGCUCAGGCACGAAGGCGUGGGGAGCAAACAGGAUUAGAUACCCUGGUAGUCCACGCCCUAAACGAUGUCAAUUAGCUGUUGGGGGUUUGAAUCCUUGGUAGCGUAGCUAACGCGUGAAAUUGACCGCCUGGGGAGUACGGCCGCAAGGUUAA
This 374-nucleotide ribosomal RNA is filed under the name uncultured bacterium. RNAcentral's name for it is "bacterial SSU rRNA". It matches the Rfam family "Bacterial small subunit ribosomal RNA", at positions 523 to 897 of the family's 1533-position model. The record is from RNAcentral.